Molecule: non-coding RNA, 105 nt
Organism: Mesitornis unicolor (brown roatelo)
Lineage: Eukaryota; Metazoa; Chordata; Aves; Mesitornithiformes; Mesitornithidae
Source: Rfam
GUUGGGAACAGCCUCGCAUGAUGACCCUUCUCUCUCUGAUGGCUGUGGUGGUGAUGAUCAUCAAACCAAAGCCUCUAAGAAGUUGACUGAAGAGGCCGUUCCUCU